This 253-nucleotide ribosomal RNA is filed under the name uncultured bacterium. RNAcentral describes it as "partial 16S ribosomal RNA". It matches the Rfam family "Bacterial small subunit ribosomal RNA", at positions 524 to 776 of the family's 1533-position model. The record is from RNAcentral.
UACAGAGGUGGCAAGCGUUGUUCGGAAUUACUGGGCGUAAAGGGCGCGUAGGCGGCCCGCCAAGUCCCGUGUGAAAGCCCUCGGCUCAACCGAGGAACGGCGCGGGAAACUAGCAGGCUUGAGUUCGGGAGAGGGAAGCGGAAUUCCGGGUGUAGCGGUGAAAUGCGCAGAUAUCCGGAGGAACACCGGUGGCGAAGGCGGCUUCCUGGACCGACACUGACGCUGAGGCGCGAAAGCUAGGGGAGCAAACGGG